This 1291-nucleotide ribosomal RNA is filed under the name marine metagenome. Its description in RNAcentral is "bacterial LSU rRNA". It matches the Rfam family "Bacterial large subunit ribosomal RNA", at positions 1113 to 2477 of the family's 2925-position model. The record is from RNAcentral.
CAGCCAUUCAUUUAAAGAGUGCGUAACAGCUCACUAGUCGAGCGGUCGAGCAUGGAUAAUAAUCGGGCAUAAGCAUACCACCGAAGCUGUGGCAGUAAUUUAUUACUGGGUAGGGGAGCAUUCUAUGUGCGUUGAAGUUAAACUGCGAGGUUUAUUGGAGCGCAUAGAAAAGAAAAUGUAGGCAUAAGUAACGACAAUGCAGGCGAGAAACCUGCACACCGAAAGACUAAGGUUUCCUCAGCUAUGCUAAUCAGCUGAGGGUUAGUCGGGACCUAACGCGAACCCGAAGGGGGUAGUGGAUGGACAACGGGUUAAUAUUCCCGUACCUGCCGGCGCAAAAAGUGACGGAGGGGAUGAGUUAUUGCGUACUGACGGAAUAGUACGUUGAAGGAUCUGUUAAGGGUCUGAUAGUACACCAAGGCUUCGGCUGCGGUGAUAAUAUAGCGAUUCCACUUCCAAGAAAAGCGAGCCAGGCAGCCCGUACCGUAAACCGACACAGGUAGUUGGGAUGAGAAUUCUAAGGUGCUCGAGAGAUUCAUGGCUAAGGAACUAGGCAAAAUGGGCCCGUAACUUCGGGAGAAGGGUCGCCUACUUCGGUAGGCCGCAGUGAAGAGGUCCAGGCGACUGUUUAUCAAAAACACAGGACUCUGCUAAAUCGAAAGAUGACGUAUAGGGUCUGACACCUGCCCGGUGCCGGAAGGUUAAGUGGAGGGUUUAGCUUUACGCGAAGAUCUGAAAUGAAGCCCCGGUAAACGGCGGCCGUAACUAUAACGGUCCUAAGGUAGCGAAAUUCCUUGUCGGGUAAGUUCCGACCUGCACGAAUGGUGCAACGAUCUGGACACUGUCUCAGCCAUGAGCUCGGUGAAAUUGUAGUAUCGGUGAAGAUGCCGAUUACCCGCUACGGGACGAAAAGACCCCGUGCACCUUUACUAUAGCUUCGUAUUGACCUUGGAUAAGUAACGUGUAGGAUAGGUGGGAGACUUUGAAGUGGCGUCGCUAGGCGUCGUGGAGUCAUUGUUGAAAUACCACCCUUUGCUUAUCUAGGGCCUAAUCCCUAACAGGAGACAGUGCGUGGUGGGUAGUUUGACUGGGGUGGUCGCCUCCAAAAGAGUAACGGAGGCUUCUAAAGGUACCCUCAGCACGCUUGGUAACCGUGCGUAGAGUGCAAUGGCAUAAGGGUGCUUGACUGAGAGACCUACAAGUCGAUCAGGUUGGAAACAAGAGCAUAGUGAUCCGGUGGUUCCGUAUGGAAGGGCCAUCGCUCAAAGGAUAAAAGGUACGCCGGGGAUAA